Canis lupus familiaris (dog) is the source of this 1528-nucleotide long non-coding RNA. RefSeq lists it as uncharacterized. The transcript is spliced from 4 exons. The record is from RefSeq and is a predicted model, not a curated record. NCBI's taxonomy places the organism in Eukaryota, Metazoa, Chordata, Mammalia, Carnivora, Canidae.
UACCCAGAGCGUGGUUCUUGUCUGCACCUCCUCCAAGACUUCAACCUUCUCCAGGGCAGGGUCUGUCAUUUAUCCAUAUGUAUUCAACAAGAUUCAUUGGGAAGACGAAUAAAAAGGGGGCUCAGACUAAUGAAAACAUCACACUUCCUCGCUUCGGCUGGGAUUAAAUUAUCUCAGUGUGGCAACAGCAAUUAUCUCCUGUAAUCAGAAGCUUGGCUGACCAGCUCUGUAGGCCUCGAUUGGUAAAACAUGGGGCAAAAGUUAAUUAGUAAUUUAAUGAGUUCAGUUUGUUUUGCGGAUGAAAAUCCUUUAAAAACAACCCGUGGGGUUGACAGUGAGAAGAGAAGGAGGCCUUGGUGCUGAAAAUCUCCGAAAAUACCCCAUUUGUCAUGAUGGGUGGGCCGCUCUAAGGGUGUUCACGUUUGUUGUAUAACUCAGACCAGGCCGACGGGUGGUCCUCCAGGCCAACGAGGCCCCGUUACAAGUGGUGUUUGUGGGGCACUCCCUCUGGGCCUGUCCGGCUCCCUCUGUCUCCACCAUCGCUCUGAAGCCCAAGCCACUUCAAGUAGGAGUGACGUCUUACCACCCCGUGGCUUCCCCAGGCUCCUCCUUAUAAGAACAUGGGCUUGGAGAUCUCACCUACCUGGUUUGAAUCCUGGCUCUGCCACUUACCUGCUGACAGAAAAAGAAAAAGAAACCUGGACUUAAGGCCGCUCAGUCAAGGGGGAAGCACAUCCAGCAGGCAUCUACAACAUGCCAGAAACCUCUCAUACAAAGCCAUCUUUCAUGGUUAUCCUCGUUUUACAAAUGAAGAAACUGAGGCCCUGAUGAGUAAAGUCGGUCAUCCAAAGUUGCACAACAAAUAAGUGGCACAGUCAGGAUUCCAGCCAGGCAGGUUCUGAGGGGUCCUCAGCAUGCAGGGCAGUUGGGCCACCUCCGAGCAGCUGCAGGCCCGUGGAGAUGGCCUGAAUUCGGACAGGCCCUGGAAGGAGGGUCUGGGCACCGCUUCCAAGCAUCUGACCUAGAAGGAGCAGCACAGCCGUGGUCUGGGAGUUUCUGUCCCCAGCCAAGACCCACAGCAGCAUGCUACAAGGGUACAGGAAGAGAAGAAGGAAGGGAGGAGGUGGAGGCUUUUGGAGGGAAGAAGUUUAAGGAUGUUGGAUGGCAUGUUCCCGUGGAUAUUACAGUUGCCGUGGAUGAUGGCAGGAGUAGAGACGGAGAGGAUGUCAGGGAGCCAGGUCCCCAUGACGUCAGGACCAGGAACGUGGGAACUUUCUAUCCCUAUGCCUGGAGCAUGGCAGAUAUUCAAUAAAUGUUUGUCAACUAAUUGACCAUAUCCAGGGUUUUCCUGCUUUUAUCUCUCCUGCCUAUGUUGGCCUUCGUGGAAAGACCUGGAAAAGCCACGCGGAACUAUAAAUCACCGAUGAUAGCUAUUGAAUGGCACUUCUCAGAGAAGUGAGGCUCAUGUUAUAGACGUGGUCUCGGGGAGACUUCAGACUCUCCACAGCAAGUAGAGCCAGUAAGAGGA